GACGAACGCUGGCGGCGCGCUUAAUACAUGCAAGUCGAGCGAGAACCGGAGCUUCGGCUCCGGGGACAGCGGCGAACGGGUGAGUAACACGUGGGUAACCUGCCCUCGGCACCGGGAUAGCCCGGGGAAACCCGGAUUAAUACCGGAUGGUCCUUUCGGCCUUCGGACCGGUCGGCAACGGUCGCUACGGCCUCCGGCCGAGGAUGUGCCGGCGGCGGAUUAGCUUGUUGGUGAGGUAACGGCUCACGAAGGCUCCGAUCCGUAGCUGGUCUGAGAGGACGAGCAGCCACACUGGGACUGAGACACGGCCCAGACUCCUACGGGAGGGAGCAGUAGGGAAUCUUGCGCAAUGGGCGAAAGCCUGACGCAGCGACGCCGCGUGCGGGAGGACGGCCUUCGGGUUGUAAACCGCUUUCAGGGGGGACGAAGCCACUCGGGUGAAUAGCCCAGAGGGUGACGGUACCUCCAGAAGAAGCCCCGGCUAACUACGUGCCAGCAGCCGCCGUAA
This 508-nucleotide ribosomal RNA is filed under the name uncultured bacterium. RNAcentral describes it as "partial 16S ribosomal RNA". It matches the Rfam family "Bacterial small subunit ribosomal RNA", at positions 28 to 523 of the family's 1533-position model. The record is from RNAcentral.